This 492-nucleotide ribosomal RNA is filed under the name uncultured bacterium. Its description in RNAcentral is "partial 16S ribosomal RNA". It matches the Rfam family "Bacterial small subunit ribosomal RNA", at positions 29 to 507 of the family's 1533-position model. The record is from RNAcentral.
AGUGAACGCUGGCGGUAGGCCUAACACAUGCAAGUCGAACGGCAGCACAGUAAGAGCUUGCUCUUACGGGUGGCGAGUGGCGGACGGGUGAGGAAUACAUCGGAAUCUACUCUUUCGUGGGGGAUAACGGAGGGAAACUUACGCUAAUACCGCAUACGACCUACGGGUGAAAGCAGGGGAUCAUCGGACCUUGCGCGAUUGAAUGAGCCGAUGUCGGAGUAGCUAGUUGGCGGGGUAAAGGCCCACCAAGGCGACGAUCCGUAGCUGGUCUGAGCGGGUGAUGAGCCACACUGGAACUGAGACACGGUCCAGACUCCUACGGGAGGCAGCAGUGGGGAAUAUUGGACAAUGGGCGCAAGCCUGAUCCAGCCAUACCGCGUGGGUGAAGAAGGACUUCGGGUUGUAAAGCCCUUUUGUUGGGAAAGAAAAGCAGCAGGUUAAUACGCCGCUGUUCUGACGGUACCCAAAGAAUAAGCACCGGCUAACUUCGUG